CCUACGGGAGGCAGCAGUGGGGAAUAUUGCGCAAUGAGCGAAAGCCUGACGCAGCGACGCCGCGUGAGGGAUGAAGGUCUUCGGAUCGUAAACCUCUGUCAGCAGGGAAGAACGGUCGCUGUUCUAAUCAGCAGUGAAUUGACGGUACCUGCAAAGGAAGCGACGGCUAACUCCGUGCCAGCAGCCGCGGUAAUACGGAGGGUGCGAGCGUUAAUCGGAAUUAUUGGGCGUAAAGCGCUCGUAGGCGGUAUGUCAAGGCAAGGGUGAAAUCCCCGGGCUCAACGUGGGAACUGCCUUUGAAACUGGCAAACUGGAGUGUGUGAGAGGAUAGUGGAAUUCCAGGUGAAGGAGUGAAAUCCGUAGAUAUAUGGAGGAACAUCAGUGGCGAAGGCGACUAUCUGGCACAUAACUGACGCUGAGGAGCGAAAGCGUGGGUAGCAAACAGGAUUAGAUACCCCUGUAGUC
Molecule: ribosomal RNA, 465 nt
Filed under: uncultured bacterium
Lineage: Bacteria
Description: partial 16S ribosomal RNA
Rfam family: Bacterial small subunit ribosomal RNA
Source: RNAcentral